GCAGUCGAGCGGGCGAGGUUGCUUCGGUAACUGAGCUAGCGGCGGACGGGUGAGUAAUGCUUAGGAAUCUGCCUAUUAGUGGGGGACAACAUUCCGAAAGGAAUGCUAAUACCGCAUACGCCCUACGGGGGAAAGCAGGGGAUCUUCGGACCUUGCGCUAAUAGAUGAGCCUAAGUCAGAUUAGCUAGUUGGUGGGGUAAAGGCCUACCAAGSCGAUCCGAUCUGUAGCGGGUCUGAGAGGGAUGAUCCGCCACACUGGGACUGAGACACGGCCCAGACUCCUACGGGAGGCAGCAGUGGGGAAUAUUGGACAAUGGGCGCAAGCCUGAUCCAGGCCAUGCCGCGUGUGUGAAGAAGGCCUUUUGGGUUGUUAAAGCACUUUAAGCGAGGAGGAGGCUACUUGGAUUAAUACUCUAGGAUAGUGGACGUUACUCGCAGAAUAAGCACCGGCUAACUCUGUGCCAGCAGCCGCGGUAAUACAGAGGGUGCGAGCGUUAAUCGGAUUUACUGGGCGUAAAGCGUGCGUAGGCGGCUUCUUAAGUCGGAUGUGAAAUCCCUGAGCUUAACUUAGGAAUUGCAUUCGAUACUGGGAAGCUAGAGUAUGGGAGAGGAUGGUAGAAUUCCAGGUGUAGCGGUGAAAUGCGUAGAGAUCUGGAGGAAUACCGAUGGCGAAGGCAGCCAUCUGGCCUAAUACUGACGCUGAGGUACGAAAGCAUGGGGAGCAAACAGGAUUAGAUACCCUGGUAGUCCAUGCCGUAAACGAUGUCUACUAGCCGUUGGGGCCUUUGAGGCUUUAGUGGCGCAGCUAACGCGAUAAGUAGACCGCCUGGGGAGUACGGUCGCAAGACUAAAACUCAAAUGAAUUGACGGGGGCCCGCACAAGCGGUGGAGCAUGUGGGUUUAAUUCGAUGCAACGCGAAGAACCCUUACCUGGUCUUGACAUAGUAAGAACUUUCCAGAGAUGGAUUGGUGCCUUCGGGAACUUACAUACAGGUGCUGCAUGGCUGUCGUCAGCUCGUGUCG
RNAcentral lists this ribosomal RNA (1023 nucleotides) under Acinetobacter johnsonii. Its description in RNAcentral is "bacterial SSU rRNA". It matches the Rfam family "Bacterial small subunit ribosomal RNA", at positions 57 to 1067 of the family's 1533-position model. Lineage: Bacteria; Pseudomonadati; Pseudomonadota; Gammaproteobacteria; Moraxellales; Moraxellaceae. The record is from RNAcentral.